UACCGGCGGCCCGAGUGGCGGCCGGGUUUAUUGGGCCUAAAGGGUCCGGAGCCGGCCCCGUAAGUCUCCCGGGAAAUCGGGCGGCUCAACCGUCCGCUUCCGGGAGAUACUGCGGGGCUAGGGACCGGGAGAGGCCGGGGGUACUCCCGGGGUAGGGGUGAAAUCUUGUGAUCCCUGAGGGACCACCAGUGGCGAAGGCGUCUCACUAGAACGGGUCCGACGGUCAGGGACGAAAGCUGGGGGCACGAACCGG
Molecule: ribosomal RNA, 253 nt
Filed under: uncultured microorganism
Description: partial 16S ribosomal RNA
Rfam family: Archaeal small subunit ribosomal RNA
Source: RNAcentral